GACGAACGCUGGCGGCGUGCCUAAUACAUGCAAGUCGAACGCUGAAGGAGGAGCUUGCUCUUCUGGAUGAGUUGCGAACGGGUGAGUAACGCGUAGGUAACCUGCCUGGUAGCGGGGGAUAACUAUUGGAAACGAUAGCUAAUACCGCAUAACAGUAGAUGUUGCAUGACAUUUGCUUAAAAGGUGCAAUUGCACCACUACCAGAUGGACCUGCGUUGUAUUAGCUAGUUGGUGGGGUAACGGCUCACCAAGGCGACGAUACAUAGCCGACCUGAGAGGGUGAUCGGCCACACUGGGACUGAGACACGGCCCAGACUCCUACGGGAGGCAGCAGUAGGGAAUCGUCGGCAAUGGACGGAAGUCUGACCGAGCAACGCCGCGUGAGUGAAGAAGGUUUUCGGAUCGUAAAGCUCUGUUGUAAGAGAAGAACGAGUGUGAGAGUGGAAAGUUCACACUGUGACGGUAUCUUACCAGAAAGGGACGGCUAACUACGU
This 494-nucleotide ribosomal RNA is filed under the name uncultured bacterium. Its description in RNAcentral is "partial 16S ribosomal RNA". It matches the Rfam family "Bacterial small subunit ribosomal RNA", at positions 28 to 506 of the family's 1533-position model. The record is from RNAcentral.